This 495-nucleotide ribosomal RNA is filed under the name uncultured bacterium. RNAcentral describes it as "partial 16S ribosomal RNA". It matches the Rfam family "Bacterial small subunit ribosomal RNA", at positions 28 to 507 of the family's 1533-position model. The record is from RNAcentral.
GACGAACGCUGGCGGCGUGCCUAAUACAUGCAAGUAGAACGCUGAAGGAGGAGCUUGCUUCUCUGGAUGAGUUGCGAACGGGUGAGUAACGCGUAGGUAACCUGCCUGGUAGCGGGGGAUAUCUAUUGGAAACGAUAGCUAAUACCGCAUAAUAGUAGAUGUCGCAUGACAUUUGCUUAAAAGGUGCAAUUGCAUCACUACCAGAUGGACCUGCGUUGUAUUAGCUAGUUGGUGAGGUAACGGCUCACCAAGGCAACGAUACAUAGCCGACCUGAGAGGGUGAUCGGCCACACUGGGACUGAGACACGGCCCAGACUCCUACGGGAGGCAGCAGUAGGGAAUCUUCGGCAAUGGACGGAAGUCUGACCGAGCAACGCCGCGUGAGUGAAGAAGGGUUUCGGAUCGUAAAGCUCUGUUGUAAGAGAAGAACGAGUGUGAGAGUGGAAAGUUCACACUGUGACGGUAUCUUACCAGAAAGGGACGGCUAACUACGUG